RNAcentral lists this ribosomal RNA (177 nucleotides) under Hygrophila corymbosa. Its description in RNAcentral is "5.8S ribosomal RNA". The stretch from base 9 to 164 matches the Rfam family "5.8S ribosomal RNA". Rfam says of the family: 5.8S ribosomal RNA (5.8S rRNA) is a component of the large subunit of the eukaryotic ribosome. The record is from RNAcentral. Lineage: Eukaryota; Viridiplantae; Streptophyta; Magnoliopsida; Lamiales; Acanthaceae.
GUCAGAACGACUCUCGGCAACGGAUAUCUCGGCUCUCGCAUCGAUGAAGAACGUAGCGAAAUGCGAUACUUGGUGUGAAUUGCAGAAUCCCGUGAACCAUCGAGUCUUUGAACGCAAGUUGCGCCCGAAGCCUUCGGGCCGAGGGCACGCCUGCCUGGGCGUCACGCAUCGCGUCGC